Molecule: unclassified non-coding RNA, 347 nt
Filed under: Hevea brasiliensis (rubber tree)
Lineage: Eukaryota; Viridiplantae; Streptophyta; Magnoliopsida; Malpighiales; Euphorbiaceae
Source: RNAcentral
GUGAUAAAAGAGUUUGUAGCCAAGGAAGGGGAGACUGUUGAACCAGGAACUAAGGUUGCUGUUAUUUCAAAGUCUGGCGAAGGUGUAGCCCAUGUAGCUCCCUCUGAGAAAAUAACAAAGAAAGCUGCUCCUAAUAAGGAAUCUGCUCCUCAAGAAAAGAAAGAGGAAAAGCCUAAAGUUGAAACUGGUCCCACAACAGAGAAGCCUAAAACACAAGCACCAGCACCACGUAAACCCUCUGCUACAGAACCUCAGCUUCCCCCUAAGGAAAGAGAAAGACGAGUUCCUAUGACAAGGCUCCGAAAAAGGGUUGCAACCCGAUUGAAGGACUCUCAAAACACAUUUGC